Molecule: unclassified non-coding RNA, 256 nt
Filed under: Hevea brasiliensis (rubber tree)
Lineage: Eukaryota; Viridiplantae; Streptophyta; Magnoliopsida; Malpighiales; Euphorbiaceae
Source: RNAcentral
CCUCUUGUCCGGAUACCUACCGACUGACACACGACCACAGGCACGUGCGAAAUUGGGCAAGGGUGAAAUAUGAGUUUUGACUCGGUGGUGCAAGUUUUUUUUUGCCCGCGAGACAACUUUCCACGCAUCGUGAUCGAAAUGCCGCGCGCGGGUUAACGAACUGAGAGAAAGAUGAAUGCGCGUUAAUUUUUCGGCGUGCGAGAAGCGCCUGCGGCGCAGCCGGAAUCUCAAAUCUUGCGGGUGAAGGGCUCGACGC